This is a long non-coding RNA of Limulus polyphemus (Atlantic horseshoe crab), 140 nucleotides long. RefSeq lists it as uncharacterized. The record is from RefSeq and is a predicted model, not a curated record. The transcript is spliced from 3 exons. NCBI's taxonomy places the organism in Eukaryota, Metazoa, Arthropoda, Merostomata, Xiphosura, Limulidae.
UACCCAAGAAAUACAGCUAACAACUGCUACCAUGUUCAAGCCAGAAAAGAACUGAAAACAGAAGCAAUUAGCAAUAUAAAUAUUAAACAUGGCAGUGGUGAAUGGGGCACUGAUUUACCCAAAUGGAACUAAUGGGCCAU